Molecule: ribosomal RNA, 465 nt
Filed under: uncultured bacterium
Lineage: Bacteria
Description: partial 16S ribosomal RNA
Rfam family: Bacterial small subunit ribosomal RNA
Source: RNAcentral
GACGAACGCUGGCGGCGUGCUUAACACAUGCAAGUCGAACGGAAAGGCCCCUUUGGGGGUACUCGAGUGGCGAACGGGUGAGUAACACGUGAGUAACCUGCCCUUGACUUCGGGAUAACUUCAGGAAACUGGGGCUAAUACCGGAUAGGAAUCCUUGCUGCAUGGUGGGGGUUGGAAAGCUUCGGCGGUUUUGGCUGGACUCACGGCUUAUCAGCUUGUUGGUGGGGUAGUGGCUUACCAAGGCUUUGACGGGUAGCCGGCCUGAGAGGGCGACCGGCCACAUUGGGACUGAGAUACGGCCCAGGCUCCGACGGGAGGCAGCAGGGGGGAAUAUUGCACAAUGGGCGGAAGCCGGAUGCAGCAACGCCGCGGGCGGGAUGACGGCCUUCGGGUUGAAAACCGCUUUCAGCAGGGGCGAAGCUUGUGGUGACGGUACCUGCAGAAGAAGCACCGGCUAACUACGUG